UGCUUCAUUUAUUUAAAUUGUCAUUAUUGUGCAUAAUAUUUUACAUGGAAUUAUAACGAUGGGAAAGUCAUCCUGGUAGAGUUGAUAGAUGUAGAAUUGGAAUUAUUUGAUGCAUUUGCCUCUUCAUAAAAUAAAAUUACAUACGAGCAAGUGAUUUUUCAUUUUGAACUUUUUUUGUGGAAAAAUAUUUAUUUUUCACCAAAAGUAUUUAUUUAGAUUUGUAUUCCAAAUUACUGUUAUAUAAUAUCCCAACUGAUAUUACUGUUUUUGACUUUGUCUUUUUAGGUCAUUGGUAUUUUAAUUUAUCAUAGGAGAAGACUAUCGUGUCCUGGAGGUCAAAACAGCAGGGCACAGUCUGAUGCCCAGCCAAUCAGGACCAUGGCCAUCAUCAUUGAGCA
This is a long non-coding RNA of Anguilla anguilla (European eel), 398 nucleotides long. RefSeq lists it as uncharacterized. The record is from RefSeq and is a predicted model, not a curated record. The transcript is spliced from 3 exons. Lineage: Eukaryota; Metazoa; Chordata; Actinopteri; Anguilliformes; Anguillidae.